Molecule: ribosomal RNA, 777 nt
Filed under: uncultured Neocallimastigales
Lineage: Eukaryota; Fungi; Neocallimastigomycota; Neocallimastigomycetes; Neocallimastigales
Description: partial large subunit ribosomal RNA
Rfam family: Eukaryotic large subunit ribosomal RNA
Source: RNAcentral
GUAGUCUCGCACAGAUGCAUAUCAAUAAGCGGAGGAAAAGAAACUAACUAGGAUUCCCUCAGUAACGGCGAGUGAAGCGGGAAGAGCUCAAAUUUGAAAUCUUCAAGGUUCUACCUUGACGAAUUGUAGUUUAAAGAAGUGUUUUCUGUUGGAGUUUUGGUAAAAGUUCUUUGGAAUAGGACAUCAUAGAGGGUGAGAAUCCCGUAUUUGACCAUUACUUUCCAGCUUUGUGAUACACUUUCAAAGAGUCGGAUUGUUUGGGAAUGCAGUCCAAAAUGGGUGGUAAAUUUCAUCUAAAGCUAAAUACUGGCGAGAGACCGAUAGCGAACAAGUACCGUGAGGGAAAGAUGAAAAGAACUUUGAAAAGAGAGUUAAACAGUACGUGAAAUUGUCAAAAGGGAAGCGUUUGACACCAGUGUUGUUUUCCUCGAAAAUCAAUUAAAAAAGGCAGGAUUUUGUGUUGUAUUGACUUUAUCAGCUUUCUGCACUCUUUUCUUGUCUUUUUUUAAUGCACUUUUCGUUUAACAAGUCAACAUCAAUUUCUUUUGUUGUAAAAGGGUCAUUGGAAGGUGGCUUUCUUUUCGGAGAAAGUGUUUAUAGCCUUUGGCCUCUGCAAUCGGAGAGAUUGAGGUCUGCAGCGUAGAUCCUUCGGGGUUAGAUACAUUUGUGCUAAGUUAUAGCCUUUCAUAGACAACUUGUUGACUAUGAUCAGUCAUGUAGCUUACUCGCUUAUGCUAUUUUACCUACGCUUAGGAUGUUGAAGUCAUCGUAUCGCGC